This 206-nucleotide small RNA is filed under the name Marmota monax (woodchuck). Lineage: Eukaryota; Metazoa; Chordata; Mammalia; Rodentia; Sciuridae. The record is from RNAcentral.
UGGAAAACAAGACAAAAGCAUAUGCCCCUGGGAUGAGUUAUUUAUGUUCAGAAUUAUUUAAAAAUUGUUGUUUUUGUUGUUAUUAUUAUUAUUAUUAUUAUUAUUUGUGUGUGUGUGUGUGUGUGUGUGUGUUGCUGGGGAUGGAAACCAGGGCCUCACACAUACUAGGCAAAUGCUGGACCACUGAGUUAUGUCCUCAUCCCCAA